Molecule: ribosomal RNA, 2671 nt
Filed under: Escherichia coli
Lineage: Bacteria; Pseudomonadati; Pseudomonadota; Gammaproteobacteria; Enterobacterales; Enterobacteriaceae
Description: partial 23S ribosomal RNA
Rfam family: Bacterial large subunit ribosomal RNA
Source: RNAcentral
ACCGAGAUUCCCCCAGUAGCGGCGAGCGAACGGGGAGGAGCCCAGAGCCUGAAUCAGUGUGUGUGUUAGUGGAAGCGUCUGGAAAGGCGCGCGAUACAGGGUGACAGCCCCGUACACAAAAAUGCACAUACUGUGAGCUCGAUGAGUAGGGCGGGACACGUGGUAUCCUGUCUGAAUAUGGGGGGACCAUCCUCCAAGGCUAAAUACUCCUGACUGACCGAUAGUGAACCAGUACCGUGAGGGAAAGGCGAAAAGAACCCCGGCGAGGGGAGUGAAAAAGAACCUGAAACCGUGUACGUACAAGCAGUGGGAGCCUCUUUUAUGGGGUGACUGCGUACCUUUUGUAUAAUGGGUCAGCGACUUAUAUUCUGUAGCAAGGUUAACCGAAUAGGGGAGCCGAAGGGAAACCGAGUCUUAACUGGGCGUUAAGUUGCAGGGUAUAGACCCGAAACCCGGUGAUCUAGCCAUGGGCAGGUUGAAGGUUGGGUAACACUAACUGGAGGACCGAACCGACUAAUGUUGAAAAAUUAGCGGAUGACUUGUGGCUGGGGGUGAAAGGCCAAUCAAACCGGGAGAUAGCUGGUUCUCCCCGAAAGCUAUUUAGGUAGCGCCUCGUGAAUUCAUCUCCGGGGGUAGAGCACUGUUUCGGCAAGGGGGUCAUCCCGACUUACCAACCCGAUGCAAACUGCGAAUACCGGAGAAUGUUAUCACGGGAGACACACGGCGGGUGCUAACGUCCGUCGUGAAGAGGGAAACAACCCAGACCGCCAGCUAAGGUCCCAAAGUCAUGGUUAAGUGGGAAACGAUGUGGGAAGGCCCAGACAGCCAGGAUGUUGGCUUAGAAGCAGCCAUCAUUUAAAGAAAGCGUAAUAGCUCACUGGUCGAGUCGGCCUGCGCGGAAGAUGUAACGGGGCUAAACCAUGCACCGAAGCUGCGGCAGCGACGCUUAUGCGUUGUUGGGUAGGGGAGCGUUCUGUAAGCCUGCGAAGGUGUGCUGUGAGGCAUGCUGGAGGUAUCAGAAGUGCGAAUGCUGACAUAAGUAACGAUAAAGCGGGUGAAAAGCCCGCUCGCCGGAAGACCAAGGGUUCCUGUCCAACGUUAAUCGGGGCAGGGUGAGUCGACCCCUAAGGCGAGGCCGAAAGGCGUAGUCGAUGGGAAACAGGUUAAUAUUCCUGUACUUGGUGUUACUGCGAAGGGGGGACGGAGAAGGCUAUGUUGGCCGGGCGACGGUUGUCCCGGUUUAAGCGUGUAGGCUGGUUUUCCAGGCAAAUCCGGAAAAUCAAGGCUGAGGCGUGAUGACGAGGCACUACGGUGCUGAAGCAACAAAUGCCCUGCUUCCAGGAAAAGCCUCUAAGCAUCAGGUAACAUCAAAUCGUACCCCAAACCGACACAGGUGGUCAGGUAGAGAAUACCAAGGCGCUUGAGAGAACUCGGGUGAAGGAACUAGGCAAAAUGGUGCCGUAACUUCGGGAGAAGGCACGCUGAUAUGUAGGUGAAGCGACUUGCUCGUGGAGCUGAAAUCAGUCGAAGAUACCAGCUGGCUGCAACUGUUUAUUAAAAACACAGCACUGUGCAAACACGAAAGUGGACGUAUACGGUGUGACGCCUGCCCGGUGCCGGAAGGUUAAUUGAUGGGGUUAGCGGUAACGCGAAGCUCUUGAUCGAAGCCCCGGUAAACGGCGGCCGUAACUAUAACGGUCCUAAGGUAGCGAAAUUCCUUGUCGGGUAAGUUCCGACCUGCACGAAUGGCGUAAUGAUGGCCAGGCUGUCUCCACCCGAGACUCAGUGAAAUUGAACUCGCUGUGAAGAUGCAGUGUACCCGCGGCAAGACGGAAAGACCCCGUGAACCUUUACUAUAGCUUGACACUGAACAUUGAGCCUUGAUGUGUAGGAUAGGUGGGAGGCUUUGAAGUGUGGACGCCAGUCUGCAUGGAGCCGACCUUGAAAUACCACCCUUUAAUGUUUGAUGUUCUAACGUUGGCCCCUGAUCGGGGUUGCGGACAGUGUCUGGUGGGUAGUUUGACUGGGGCGGUCUCCUCCUAAAGAGUAACGGAGGAGCACGAAGGUUGGCUAAUCCUGGUCGGACAUCAGGAGGUUAGUGCAAUGGCAUAAGCCAGCUUGACUGCGAGCGUGACGGCGCGAGCAGGUGCGAAAGCAGGUCAUAGUGAUCCGGUGGUUCUGAAUGGAAGGGCCAUCGCUCAACGGAUAAAAGGUACUCCGGGGAUAACAGGCUGAUACCGCCCAAGAGUUCAUAUCGACGGCGGUGUUUGGCACCUCGAUGUCGGCUCAUCACAUCCUGGGGCUGAAGUAGGUCCCAAGGGUAUGGCUGUUCGCCAUUUAAAGUGGUACGCGAGCUGGGUUUAGAACGUCGUGAGACAGUUCGGUCCCUAUCUGCCGUGGGCGCUGGAGAACUGAGGGGGGCUGCUCCUAGUACGAGAGGACCGGAGUGGACGCAUCACUGGUGUUCGGGUUGUCAUGCCAAUGGCACUGCCCGGUAGCUAAAUGCGGAAGAGAUAAGUGCUGAAAGCAUCUAAGCACGAAACUUGCCCCGAGAUGAGUUCUCCCUGAGACUUUAAGUCUCCUGAAGGAACGUUGAAGACGACGACGUUGAUAGGCCGGGUGUGUAAGCGCAGCGAUGCGUUGAGCUAACCGGUACUAAUGAACCGUGAGG